GUCUACGGCCAUACCACUCUGAACAAGCCUGAUCCGGUGUGAUCUCAGAAGCUAAGCAGGGUCGGGCCUGGUUAGUACUUGGAUGGGAGAUUACCUAGGAAGACCAGGUGCCAUAGGCG
This 119-nucleotide ribosomal RNA is filed under the name Pteropus alecto (black flying fox). The record is from RNAcentral. Lineage: Eukaryota; Metazoa; Chordata; Mammalia; Chiroptera; Pteropodidae.